Molecule: unclassified non-coding RNA, 384 nt
Filed under: soil metagenome
Description: partial contains 5.8S ribosomal RNA, internal transcribed spacer 2, and large subunit ribosomal RNA
Rfam family: 5.8S ribosomal RNA (bases 1-120)
Source: RNAcentral
GAUGAAGAACGUAGCGAGAUGCGAUAAGUAAUGUGAAUUGCAGAAUUCAGUGAAUCAUCGAAUCUUUGAACGCACCUUGCACCCUUUGGCAUUCCGAAGGGUAUGCUCGUUUGAGUGUCAUUGUACUCUCACUCUCCCGAUGCUUUUGGAUCGGGAGUGGUGGACUUGGGUGUUGCUGCUUUGCUGUGGCUCGCCUCAAAUGGAGUAGUGCAACUCUUGGUUGGACAUAGUACGGCGUGAUAAGUGUCUUCGCCGGCGCCUCAUUAUAGAGGGUGGCCGAUCGGGAGCUCUGUGCUUCAAACCGUCUUCGGACAACAUCUGACAACUUGACCUCAAAUCGAGUAGGACUACCCGCUGAACUUAAGCAUAUCAAUAAGCGGAGGA